This is a long non-coding RNA of Corapipo altera (White-ruffed manakin), 575 nucleotides long. RefSeq lists it as uncharacterized. The transcript is spliced from 2 exons. Lineage: Eukaryota; Metazoa; Chordata; Aves; Passeriformes; Pipridae. The record is from RefSeq and is a predicted model, not a curated record.
GAUGUGUUUCCUGGGCAGUGGACCAGAUGAGACAUAUGUGUGAGUGUGUGCAUGUGUGUGCAUGCAGAUAAUUUCCCUUGCAUUAAUAAAAAAAAGUGAGCCUACAGUUGGUUGAUCAUCAGUGUAUCCAUCCAAUGUAUGGCAACUUGUGUUGAGUGACCAACUUUACACAGGGUCUCAUUUUCACUCCCUCCUCUCACUUUUGUUGGGCGUUGCUAAGAAGUGGAAGCGUGGAUCAUUUUCUGAGUUGCUUCCCUGCUCCUGUUCACCUUCUGACAUGCAGCAGGCUGAGAAAUAUUCCAGAAUAGAAUGUCUUUUAUUUUAAUACGUUGUCACAACUGCGUUGGAGAUGCAAUGAAAUCAUGGCAAGCUUCCCACCAUCCACGAAGGAAAUAAAAGAGAAUCCUGCUGGUGUGAGAACCAUUGUACUGGGGACAUCUUGCCAUGCUGAUAAUGAUAGAAGAAUAAAAUGCUCUGCUGUGAAAAAGAUACAUUCUAGCAAGCAGUCUUCAUUGCUGUCCAAAUGCCAGCAUGGCUUAUUAUUUUCUAAUGAAAUGAAAUAUAUUCGUGCUCUC